CCUGCCCUCAGACAUCAGUGAUCCUGGUUCUCAGGCCUUUGGGCUCAGACUGAAGUGCACCACUGGUUUCCUGGUUCUUUAGCUUGGAGACAGCAAAUUGUGAACUUCUCCGCCUCCAUAACCACAUGUUUUUGCUCUGAUGGUGUGCUGAAACUUCUCUGCUGGACUCCUGGACUCCCGGACUCACAUAAAGAAGCACCAUUUAACCCAGCCUGGAUCUGCUCUUCUGUGGCACACACCUUGUGAAUGUGACGAGGAACUGGAGUGGGGAAUGCUGUGACCCUCAGGCAGCAGCGUGAGUGAUUCACUGAAGAAGAGCCAGAGACGGACAUGAGG
This is a long non-coding RNA of Camelus dromedarius (Arabian camel), 336 nucleotides long. RefSeq lists it as uncharacterized. NCBI's taxonomy places the organism in Eukaryota, Metazoa, Chordata, Mammalia, Artiodactyla, Camelidae. The transcript is spliced from 4 exons. The record is from RefSeq and is a predicted model, not a curated record.